UGAGCAGACUAUGCGGUUGCGUGAACGUGUUUCAGUUCACGAGGAAAGUCCGGGCAUCACAGGGCGGGAUAACUGCUAACGGCAGCCGGGGGUGACCCUAGGGCAAGUGCAACAGAAAAGAGACUGCCGGAUCUGUAUUUUUACAUCCGGUGAUGGUGGAAUGGCGAGGUAAAAGCUCACCGGGGUGCAGGAGACUGUACCGCCGUGUAAACCCUAUCCGAUGCAACGUUGAAAUGGUGUGUGCUGGUCGUAACGCCUGCCCGGCGGAUCACUGCACAGCAACGGCUUGAAUCAUCCGGCAACGGAUGAUCUAGAUAAAUAACCGCACACGACAGAACCCGGCUUAUCGGUCUGGUCAUAAC
This 362-nucleotide RNase P RNA is filed under the name Oscillospiraceae bacterium. RNAcentral's name for it is "RNase P RNA component class A". It matches the Rfam family "Bacterial RNase P class A". From Rfam's summary of the family: Ribonuclease P (RNase P) is a ubiquitous endoribonuclease, found in archaea, bacteria and eukarya as well as chloroplasts and mitochondria. The record is from RNAcentral. Lineage: Bacteria; Bacillati; Bacillota; Clostridia; Eubacteriales; Oscillospiraceae.